RNAcentral lists this long non-coding RNA (498 nucleotides) under Amborella trichopoda. RNAcentral describes it as "long non-coding RNA (ATRI_LNC001668)". Lineage: Eukaryota; Viridiplantae; Streptophyta; Magnoliopsida; Amborellales; Amborellaceae. The record is from RNAcentral.
UUUACCCCUAGUGUCAGGCUAGGUUUGCCCUAAGUCGUCGAGUUUAUCUCUAAAAAAACUCCAAAAUUUUCUACCACCAAGAACAUUCCACCCCUAAAAUGACAAUUGACAAUAGAGAAAAAAAGCCAAACUUCAUAACAAAUUCAAAAGGAAAAUUUCAAUAAUUCUUAAGCCAUGAACAAUCAAUUUAGAUCAAACGACUGAAUGAUUUUCAAUCUAAAAAACACCCAAAAUUUCCUACCACCAGGAUCAUUCUAGCCCUAAAAUGACAAUAGAGAAAAAAAGCCAAACUCCAUAACGAAUUCAUAAGAAAAACUUCAAUAAUUCUCAAGCUAUGAGCAAACCAUCCCUUCAUAUUCAAUGAUAAAUCAAAUACAACAAAUUUCAACAAACAAUAACCCAACAAUACAUUUUAACGAUUUUAUUCCAUAAAUCUGCUAUAUAUUUAUUUAAUAAAAAAUAGUUAAAAAACUCUUCUAUAUCUUUGAUGAGGUUGAG